CUUCUUGAAUUGUUUUGAGGUCGUGCCUGCCCACUGAUUGAUUUGAAGGGCCGCGGUAUUUUGACCGUGCAAAGGUAGCAUAAUCAUUAGUCUUUUAAUUGUGGACUGGAAUGAAUGGUUUGACGAAAUGAACAUUGUCUCUUUAAUAAAUAAUGAAUUUCACUUUUGAGUUAAAAGGCUCAAUUGAAGGUUGGGGACGAGAAGACCCUAUAGAUCUUUAUUUUUAGUUUAAUUAUUUGUUUGUAGUUAUAAGUGAAAAGUUAUUGAAUUGAAAAUUUUGUUGGGGUGACGUAAGAAUGUUAUGAACUUCUUUAUUUUUAUUUACUUUGAUUGAUGGUUUUUUGAUCCUUUAAUAUGGAUGUUAGAUUAAGAUACCUUAGGGAUAACAGCGUUAUUUUAUUUGAGAGUUCUUAUUGACAAUAAAGAUUGCGACCUCGAUGUUGGAUUAAGAUUAUAUUUUGGUGUAGUAGCUAAAAAUAUUGGUCUGUUC
RNAcentral lists this ribosomal RNA (490 nucleotides) under Mikluchomaklaia sp. PNG. RNAcentral describes it as "partial 16S ribosomal RNA". It matches the Rfam family "Bacterial large subunit ribosomal RNA", at positions 1828 to 2582 of the family's 2925-position model. The record is from RNAcentral. Lineage: Eukaryota; Metazoa; Arthropoda; Insecta; Orthoptera; Phalangopsidae.